UAUAGACUUCCCCACAUUGAAAUUGGGAAGAAGAAACAUUGGAGAGCAUGUCAAGACACAAGGGGCUCAGGGUACAGCAUAAUUUUGCUUUAAUUCUACAGCAUGUUUUCACCAAGGGUGGUAGGAGAUAGAGAUGAAGUAUAGAUUUUACAGACAUUACAUCGUGUUCCUAAAAACAGACGGAAAAGUGAUCAUAAUAACCCAUAAACACUGUAGAACAAGAACUAACGAGACCGCUGAUGUAGAAAUUACUUUCCUCAAGGAAGAGGGAUUGUCAGGCAGAAAGGAGGG
This 291-nucleotide long non-coding RNA is filed under the name Homo sapiens (human). RNAcentral describes it as "LHRI_LNC493.1". The record is from RNAcentral. Lineage: Eukaryota; Metazoa; Chordata; Mammalia; Primates; Hominidae.